UCCAUUUCCAUCACAUCCCAGUUAAACAAGGUGGUGGAUCUAAAAGCAGAGCAGGAAGGAUUCAGCAGCUCUGAAUCUCGAGGAUCUAAACACGCCGAGAGAGACUCGCUACGUCUAAAAUCAGUCUCUGGAUCCUCAGCUGAGAUGAGUCCUGGUGAGAUUGUACUCGAACCUGCUGCCGAGGACGAUUCCUUCUCCGAUGCGUCUCUACUGCACAGUGUCGAGAUUGUCGGAGCUGGAUGGACGCCACAUAUCGGAGAAAGCCUGGAGGAGGAACUGAGCACGUUCUCCAGCUACUCCAUCCACACAGGUCAGCCAGACGUCUUUUAAGCUCACGCGGGACAUAACAUGACGUGGCGGG
Long non-coding RNA from Trichomycterus rosablanca, 361 nucleotides. RefSeq lists it as uncharacterized. The record is from RefSeq and is a predicted model, not a curated record. The transcript has 3 exons. Lineage: Eukaryota; Metazoa; Chordata; Actinopteri; Siluriformes; Trichomycteridae.